UGAUAGUAUCAGAAGAGGAAGGGACGGCUAACUCUGUGCCAGCAGCCGCGGUAAUACAGAGGUCCCAAGCGUUGUUCGGAUUCAUUGGGCGUAAAGGGUGUGUAGGUGGCGCCGUAAGUCGGGUGUGAAGUCUCGGGGCUUAACUCCGUAACUGCAUUCGAUACUGCGGUGCUUGAGGACUGGAGAGGAGACUGGAAUUCAUGGUGUAGCAGUGAAAUGCGUAGAGAUCAUGAGGAAGACCAGUGGCGAAGGCGGGUCUCUGGACAGUUCCUGACACUGAGACACGAAGGCCAGGGGAGCAAACGGGAUUAGAUACCCCGGUAGUCCUGGCAGUAAACGGUGCACGUUUGGUGUGGGAGGAUUCGACCCCUUCUGCGCCGGAGCUAACGCGUUAAACGUGCCGCCUGGGGAGUACGGUCGCAAGAUUAAAACUCAAAGAAAUUGACGGGGGCCCGCACAAGCGGUGGAGUAUGUGGCUUAAUUCGAUGCAACGCGAAGAACCUUACCUGGCCUUGACAUGCAUCUCUAAGCGCGUGAAAGCGCGUGAGUCUCGAA
Molecule: ribosomal RNA, 555 nt
Filed under: uncultured Verrucomicrobiota bacterium
Lineage: Bacteria; Pseudomonadati; Verrucomicrobiota
Description: bacterial SSU rRNA
Rfam family: Bacterial small subunit ribosomal RNA
Source: RNAcentral